RNAcentral lists this ribosomal RNA (448 nucleotides) under uncultured bacterium. Its description in RNAcentral is "bacterial SSU rRNA". It matches the Rfam family "Bacterial small subunit ribosomal RNA", at positions 329 to 793 of the family's 1533-position model. The record is from RNAcentral.
UACCAGACUCCUACGGGAGGCAGCAGUGGGGGAUAUUGCACAAUGGGGGCAACCCUGAUGCAGCGACGCCGCGUGGGUGAAGGAGUAUUUCGGUAUGUAAAGCCCUAUCGGCAGAGAAGAAGCAAGACGGUACCUGACUAAGAAGCCCCGACUAACUACGUGCCAGCAGCCGCGGUAAUACGUAGGGGGCGAGCGUUAUCCGGAUUCACUGGGUGUAAAGGGAGCGUAGACGGCCAAGCAAGCCAGGGGUGAAAGCCCGGGGCCCAACCCCGGGACUGCCCUUGGAACUGCAUGGCUGGAGUGCGGGAGGGGCAGGCGGAAUUCCUGGUGUAGCGGUGAAAUGCGUAGAUAUCAGGAGGAACACCGGCGGCGAAGGCGGCCUGCUGGACCGCGACUGACGUUGAGGCUCGAAAGCGUGGGGAGCAAACAGGAUUAGAUACCCCGGUAC